RNAcentral lists this RNase P RNA (477 nucleotides) under Pyrinomonadaceae bacterium. RNAcentral's name for it is "RNase P RNA component class A". It matches the Rfam family "Bacterial RNase P class A". From Rfam's summary of the family: Ribonuclease P (RNase P) is a ubiquitous endoribonuclease, found in archaea, bacteria and eukarya as well as chloroplasts and mitochondria. Lineage: Bacteria; Pseudomonadati; Acidobacteriota; Blastocatellia; Blastocatellales; Pyrinomonadaceae. The record is from RNAcentral.
AGAGCAGGUCGGGUGGUCGCUGCUUCGCCCUCAUUUUUGAGGGUCGAAGGAGAGGAAAGUCCGAACACUACAGGGCAGCGAGCCAGCUAACGGCUGGGCGUCGUACAAAAUUUGUGCGGCGACGACAAGUGCAACAGAAAAGAGACCAGCCAACGGGUUGUCGUCUGCUCUUAACGAGCGUGCGGCAGUUGCGGGUGAUGGGUGAAACGGUGCGGCCCCUUUGCGGGCUUAAUGUAAGAGCGCACCGGCGCGUGUGGUGACAUGCGCGGCCAGGCAAACUCCUCGCGGUGCAAGACCAAAUAGGGAGGCGUCAAAAAGGGCUGCCCGCCCAAGCGGUCGAAAGCUUCAGGGCUUUCGGCUCACGACCUCCGGGUAGGUCGCUUGAGCCAUUUGGCGACAAAUGGCCUAGAUGAAUGAUCGCCGCUUCGUCCCCUAAAGGAUGAAGAACAGAAUUCGGCUUAUAGACCUGCUCUCUCG